RNAcentral lists this long non-coding RNA (652 nucleotides) under Capsella grandiflora. Its description in RNAcentral is "long non-coding RNA (CGRA_LNC001020)". The record is from RNAcentral. Lineage: Eukaryota; Viridiplantae; Streptophyta; Magnoliopsida; Brassicales; Brassicaceae.
UGUAUAUAUUUAUAAGCUUAAACAUAUCUUUGGAUAAAUUUUCAACAUUUUUAAUGGUUUUUUUAUCAAGUUUGAAAAAUGUAUUUUUUAAAAAGUGGUAUUUGAAAAGAGGUAUUUUUGAAAUGCUCACAUAAAUAUAUUGGAUGUAUUUUGCAAUUUUUACAAAAAAUAAACCCAAAUAAAACCAAACAUCUUUCAUUUAAUUCCAGCAUAAUUAAGGGACAAGUCCACCAAAAAGACGUUCCUCCACCUUAUUUAUUUAGUCACCAUGUUCCAUGGAUAAUGGAUUUAGGAUUAAGCUUUGAACUCUACUACUACUCUCAGAACUUAUAACUCUACUAUUAUCAUCAUCAAGCUCUGUUUUCUUUAUAUCCACCCCAUUUAGUUAUUUAAUGAACUAGAGUCAUAGUCACCCACUCACCUGUAACUUUAUGAGCCCUUCUUUUCAUCAUAUAUUCAUAUUCCACAUACUUACACACCUGCAUCCAUUGGAAAUGCCUGAUUUUAGAAAACCAUGAUUUGGAACACUAUGCAACUAGUAUUAGCUUCUUUUCUUGCAGCACACGACACAAUACUUUAUACCGACUUUAGUAUGUAAAAUUCGGAGGAAUGUUGUUUACAAAAGUGACAGAAUGUGGUAUGGUACGAACUU